This 492-nucleotide ribosomal RNA is filed under the name uncultured bacterium. RNAcentral describes it as "partial 16S ribosomal RNA". It matches the Rfam family "Bacterial small subunit ribosomal RNA", at positions 29 to 507 of the family's 1533-position model. The record is from RNAcentral.
AGUGAACGCUGGCGGUAGGCCUAACACAUGCAAGUCGAACGGCAGCACAGUAAGAGCUUGCUCUUACGGGUGGCGAGUGGCGGACGGGUGAGGAAUACAUCGGAAUCUACUUUUUCGGGGGGGAUAACGUAGGGAAACUUACGCUAAUACCGCAUACGACCUACGGGUGAAAGCAGGGGAUCUUCGGACCUUGCGCGAUUGAAUGAGCCGAUGUCGGAUUAGCUAGUGGGCGGGGUAACGGCCAACCAAGGCGACGAUCCGUAGCUGGUCUGAGAGGAUGAUCAGCCACACUGGAACUGAGACACGGUCCAGACUCCUACGGGAGGCAGCAGUGGGGAAUAUUGGACAAUGGGCGCAAGCCUGAUCCAGCCAUACCGCGUGGGUGAAGAAGGCCUUCGGGUUGUAAAGCCCUUUUGUUGGGAAAGAAAAGCAGCAGGUUAAUACCCCGCUGUUCUGACGGUACCCAAAGAAUAAGCACCGGCUAACUUCGUG